GAUGAACGCUGGCGGCGUGCCUAAUACAUGCAAGUCGAACGCUGGAGAUCUAGCUUGCUAGAUCGAAGGAGUGGCGAACGGGUGAGUAAUACAUAAGCAACCUACCCACGAAGACUGGGAUAAUCUCUGGAAACGGGGACUAAUACCGGAUAGGUAAUCGGAAGGCAUCUUCUGGUUAUUAAAGGUUACAAACACUGGUGGAUGGGCUUAUGGCGCAUUAGUUAGUUGGUGAGGUAACGGCCCACCAAGACGAUGAUGCGUAGCCGGCCUGAGAGGGUGAACGGCCACAUUGGGACUGAGACACGGCCCAGACUCCUACGGGAGGCAGCAGUAGGGAAUUGUCGGCAAUGGGGGCAACCCUGACCGAGCAACGCCGCGUGAGUGAAGACGGCCUUCGGGUUGUAAAGCUCUGUUGUAAGGGAAGAACGGUAGAUAGAGAAUAUCUAAGUGACGGUACCUUACCAGAAAGCCACGGCUAACUACGUG
RNAcentral lists this ribosomal RNA (486 nucleotides) under uncultured bacterium. RNAcentral's name for it is "partial 16S ribosomal RNA". It matches the Rfam family "Bacterial small subunit ribosomal RNA", at positions 28 to 507 of the family's 1533-position model. The record is from RNAcentral.